RNAcentral lists this transfer RNA (93 nucleotides) under Deinococcus seoulensis. RNAcentral's name for it is "tRNA-Leu". Lineage: Bacteria; Thermotogati; Deinococcota; Deinococci; Deinococcales; Deinococcaceae. The record is from RNAcentral.
UCUGGGGGCGGGGGGGGAACGCUCCCCCUGCCCAGGGCAGGGGGCGGGGGGGAUGGGUCCGUACCCGGCCGCGCUCGGCUCCCGCGCCGAACC